GUCCACGCCGUAAACGAUGAGAACUAGAUGUUAGGGAGCUUGACUUUUUAGUAUCGUAGCAAACGCGCUAAGUUCUCCGCCUGGGGAGUACGGCCGCAAGGUUAAAACUCAAAGAAAUUGACGGGGGCCCGCACAAGCGGUGGAGCAUGUGGUUUAAUUCGAUGCAACGCGAAGAACCUUACCUACCUUUGAAUCCACGGAAUCUUGCUGAGAGGCGAGAGUGCCUUCGGGAACCGUGAGACAGGUGCUGCAUGGCUGUCGU
RNAcentral lists this ribosomal RNA (262 nucleotides) under uncultured bacterium. RNAcentral describes it as "partial 16S ribosomal RNA". It matches the Rfam family "Bacterial small subunit ribosomal RNA", at positions 793 to 1055 of the family's 1533-position model. The record is from RNAcentral.